AAUUGGCGAAGAAGCCGUUGUGGGGGCGGGGAGCGUUGUCCUUACGGAUGUGUCUGCGAAGGAACGGGUAGCCGGCAUACCCGCCAGGAGACUGGAUGGCUGAUCGCGGGU
This 111-nucleotide ribosomal RNA is filed under the name uncultured eukaryote. Its description in RNAcentral is "partial small subunit ribosomal RNA". The record is from RNAcentral.